UUAAGCGAAUAAGCGUACACGGUGGAUGCCUAGGCAAUCAGAGGCGAUGAAGGACGUGCUAAUCUGCGAAAAGCGUCGGUAAGGUGAUAUGAACCGUUAUACCCGACGAUAUCCGAAUGGGGAAACCCAGUAUCCAAUGGAUACUAUCAUUAACUGAAUCCAUAGGUUAAUGAGGCGAACCGGGAGAACUGAAACAUCUCAGUACCCCGAGGAAAAGAAAUCAACCGAGAUUCCCCUAGUAGCGGCGAGCGAACGGGGAGCAGCCCAGAGUCUUAAUCAAUAGCAGUGUCAGGAGAACGGUCUGGAAAG
RNAcentral lists this ribosomal RNA (309 nucleotides) under Proteus mirabilis. Its description in RNAcentral is "partial 23S ribosomal RNA". It matches the Rfam family "Bacterial large subunit ribosomal RNA", at positions 1 to 349 of the family's 2925-position model. The record is from RNAcentral. Lineage: Bacteria; Pseudomonadati; Pseudomonadota; Gammaproteobacteria; Enterobacterales; Morganellaceae.